RNAcentral lists this transfer RNA (85 nucleotides) under Gammaproteobacteria bacterium 42_54_T18. Its description in RNAcentral is "tRNA-Leu". It matches the Rfam family "tRNA". From Rfam's summary of the family: Transfer RNA (tRNA) molecules are approximately 80 nucleotides in length. Their secondary structure includes four short double-helical elements and three loops (D, anti-codon, and T loops). Further hydrogen bonds mediate the characteristic L-shaped molecular structure. tRNAs have two regions of fundamental functional importance: the anti-codon, which is responsible for specific mRNA codon recognition, and the 3' end, to which the tRNAs corresponding amino acid is attached (by aminoacyl-tRNA synthetases). tRNAs cope with the degeneracy of the genetic code in two manners: having more than one tRNA (with a specific anti-codon) for a particular amino acid; and 'wobble' base-pairing, i.e. permitting non-standard base-pairing at the 3rd anti-codon position. Lineage: Bacteria; Pseudomonadati; Pseudomonadota; Gammaproteobacteria. The record is from RNAcentral.
GCCAGUGUGGUGAAAUUGGUAUACACGACGGAUUCAAAAUCCGUUGCAGCAAUGCGUGGCGGUUCGAGUCCGCCCACUGGUACCA